This 805-nucleotide ribosomal RNA is filed under the name Wolbachia sp. RNAcentral's name for it is "bacterial SSU rRNA". It matches the Rfam family "Bacterial small subunit ribosomal RNA", at positions 76 to 918 of the family's 1533-position model. Lineage: Bacteria; Pseudomonadati; Pseudomonadota; Alphaproteobacteria; Rickettsiales; Anaplasmataceae. The record is from RNAcentral.
CUUGCUAUGGUAUAACUUAGUGGCAGACGGGUGAGUAAUGUAUAGGAAUCUACCUAGUAGUACGGAAUAAUUGUUGGAAACGGCAACUAAUACCGUAUACGCCCUACGGGGGAAAAAUUUAUUGCUAUUAGAUGAGCCUAUAUUAGAUUAGCUAGUUGGUGGAGUAAUAGCCUACCAAGGCAAUGAUCUAUAGCUGAUCUGAGAGGAUGAUCAGCCACACUGGAACUGAGAUACGGUCCAGACUCCUACGGGAGGCAGCAGUGGGGAAUAUUGGACAAUGGGCGAAAGCCUGAUCCAGCCAUGCCGCAUGAGUGAAGAAGGCCUUUGGGUUGUAAAGCUCUUUUAGUGAGGAAGAUAAUGACGGUACUCACAGAAGAAGUCCUGGCUAACUCCGUGCCAGCAGCCGCGGUAAUACGGAGAGGGCUAGCGUUAUUCGGAAUUAUUGGGCGUAAAGGGCGCGUAGGCGGAUUAGUAAGUUAAAAGUGAAAUCCCAAGGCUCAACCUUGGAAUUGCUUUUAAAACUGCUAAUCUAGAGAUUGAAAGAGGAUAGAGGAAUUCCUAGUGUAGAGGUGAAAUUCGUAAAUAUUAGGAGGAACACCAGUGGCGAAGGCGUCUAUCUGGUUCAAAUCUGACGCUGAGGCGCGAAGGCGUGGGGAGCAAACAGGAUUAGAUACCCUGGUAGUCCACGCUGUAAACGAUGAAUGUUAAAUAUGGGAAGUUUUACUUUCUGUAUUACAGCUAACGCGUUAAACAUUCCGCCUGGGGACUACGGUCGCAAGAUUAAAACUCAAAGGAAUUGACGGGG